Molecule: long non-coding RNA, 169 nt
Organism: Cebus imitator (Panamanian white-faced capuchin)
Lineage: Eukaryota; Metazoa; Chordata; Mammalia; Primates; Cebidae
Exons: 5
Source: RefSeq, a predicted model, not a curated record
AUUUGGAAACAUUUUAGCCUCUGUGGCUACCCCUUUUUUGUCCCUCAACUUGAGAUGUAUGAAGGCUUUUGGUUUCCCUGGGAGUGGGUGGAGGCAGCCAGGGCUUACCUGUACACUGACUUGAAUAGUUGAAUAAAAAGAUGGGAAGAGCGUGGUGUAGAGAAAGAGU